GACGAACGCUGGCGGCGUGCCUAACACAUGCAAGUCAACUUGACUGAAGGAGCAAUCUGACAGUAGAGUGGCGCAAGGGUGCGUAACGCGUAAGUAACUUGCCCCAAGGUAAGGAAUAACGUCGAGAAAUCGGCGCUAAUACCUCAUAAUGCAGCGGAUCCGCAUGGAUAUGUUGUUAAAGGUUUACCGCCUUGGGAUAGGCUUGCGUCUGAUUAGCUAGUUGGUGUGGUAACGGCACACCAAGGCUACGAUCAGUAACUGGUCUGAGAGGAUGAUCAGUCACACUGGAACUGAGACACGGUCCAGACUCCUACGGGAGCAGCAGUGAGGAAUAUUGGGCAAUGCUCGAAAGAGUGACCCAGCAACGCCGCGUGGAGGAUGAAGGUAUUCUAUAUCGUAAACUCCUGUGAGAGCAGACGAAAGACAGAUUAUAAUCUAGAUGACUGUAUGCUCAGAGGAAG
Molecule: ribosomal RNA, 461 nt
Filed under: uncultured bacterium
Lineage: Bacteria
Description: bacterial SSU rRNA
Rfam family: Bacterial small subunit ribosomal RNA
Source: RNAcentral